Molecule: long non-coding RNA, 655 nt
Filed under: Homo sapiens (human)
Lineage: Eukaryota; Metazoa; Chordata; Mammalia; Primates; Hominidae
Description: non-protein coding lnc-HPCAL1-1:17
Source: RNAcentral
GUUCCAAUGACGCAAUUUUCCUCACACUCCGGAAGUGUCCUGCACUGCCAGAAUCGCCCAGCUUCCCGGCACACCUAUCAACCAGUCGUUCCCAGCACUGCCCAGUAUGCAGCCUCCAGGCAGAGGGCCUGGAUGUCUUGGCAGGUAGGGUUCCCCUAGCAGCCUGGGGGUGGUCAGAUAGAAACAUUAACUGGAACGUAGAGGCCAGUUCUUGGCUCAGGGAGCCAGGAGGGCUCUGACUGUUGCACAUACAAGCCACUCACACUGCUAUCGCCCACAUACCUUCCUCUCCCGCCAGCCCACCCCAAAGCCCAAACUCCUGCCCGCAUGCUGGGAAGGUGAGCCCUUGCCUGGAGAGCCCAGCAGGGGAAAUAGAAGGAGGGAAGGAGGCCUGCUCCUUCCCCGGAGCUCUGCUCUGCGGCUGCAGGAAGACCCGCAGAGGCCCUGGGCAGCAGAACUGUGGACAGCAAGGCUGGAGUUGUGAAACCCAACCACUCAGCUGGAUUCCAGAAGCUCAGGUGGUGGUGACUAAACCUGGCCUUACUUAAAAUGCAUGACUUUAUUGUCUUUCAAUGUAUUUUCAGUAAACUUCAUCCUCUCCAUUACUAUUUUCUUUUCUUCGGAAACAAGCAACAGAUCUUUGUAAAAAAAAUAC